This is a long non-coding RNA of Oryctolagus cuniculus (rabbit), 1775 nucleotides long. RefSeq lists it as uncharacterized. Lineage: Eukaryota; Metazoa; Chordata; Mammalia; Lagomorpha; Leporidae. The record is from RefSeq and is a predicted model, not a curated record.
CCUCCCUCAUGAGUAACAUGCCAUAGUCACUUCUCCCUUUUUAGCCUCCUUUAUUCCAUUCAGCACUCUGACAAUAACUGAGUCCUUCAGAAGAAUAAAACACUGCAGCUCAUGGAGCUGAUUUCACUUUGAGCGCCAUGGGAGAUGAAGACUGCAGGGCAGUUGGUCUCUUGUGCUGUUUGAAGUAUUUGGGAAGUGAGAACAAAGUGAAAUGGAGACCUCAGAGUGGGCUGCCUCUGCCAAAGAUGUGUGCUCCCCUUGUGUGGUGCAGAGCGGAUGCUGUGAAGUGGCCGCACAGCCAGGAACUGUAUUUCCCAGCCUCUUAUGAACUUGAACUAUGUGACUAGUUGUUACUAAUGAAAUGUGAGUGGAAAUGAGGUGAGAUAAGGAACAACUGUAAAACAAAAAGCUGGUGUUUCGCCUUUCUGGGGAUUUGUUCUUUCUCUCCCUGAGUAUGCAGUGUAGACUCGCCAUUUGCAUGGAGGCACAAUUGUAUGAAGGCUACACGGAUAUCAGCAAGAUGAACCAGUUCUGUCACUGUGUAUGUGUAUCUCUGCCAAUCUUUUAGAAGUUUAAAAUCAAGUCAUUUCUGAUUUCAUCCAUGUAUUUGAUAUGCUACAAUGAAUGUCAAAACCUUAUGGAGAAAUCAACCUUCUUUCAGAUCUAGGAAUUUCAAUGGUGAGAAAAUUUCAAGUUGGAGCCACUGAAGUUUAAAUCCAACCAGACUUUGGAGUAAAGUAUAUUACAGUGAAUGAAAGAGCUUUAGAAUACUUCUUUUAGAUAUUGUAGGGUUUUUUUUUAUAAAGUCCAAGAUAUAUAGAAUUCAAAACUCUUCCUUAAAAAUAAUUCAGUUACUCUUUCUGCCCUGAGGGCGAAGCCCAAACUUCAAAGCAAGAUUGAUAUGCCCUGUUCAGACCCCUGUUCACCCCUCUAUAGUCUAUGCCCCUGCCAUCAUGCAUCUUGCCUUCCAUGUAGUCACCCUCAGUUCUUUCCUGUUGCACUAGGAUGCAGUAUUGUCUCUCAUCUCCAGCUGUUGCACAGACAGUUCCCUCUACUAAGGUGUAACACUCACCUCCUCCCUCCUGCCUCUUUUCUUUAGCUUAUUUCUACUCAGUUUUCAGGUAUCAGAUUGCGUGUCACUUCUUCACUUGAGAAGCUUAUUCUGAUUGUUCUUCAAAGCCAGGUUAGGUAAGCUUCUGGUGUCUUCCAGCAAUAUUUUACAUGAUCAGAAGAUUUAACAUCUUAUAUUAUAAUUCAGUUGGUCCAUAAUAUUUCUGAUCUCGUACAUUUUGCUCUAUUAAUGAUUACUCUUGGGGCUGGUGUUAUGGCACAGUGGGUUAAUGCCUGCAAUGCUGGAAUCCCAUGCCAGCAUCUCAUGUCGGUACUGGUUUGAUUCCUGGUUGCUCUACUUCUAAUCUAGCUCCCUGUUAAUGUAUCUGAGAAAGCAGCCGAAGAUGGCCCUAAUCCUUGGGCCCCUGCACCCACAUGAGAGAGCCGGAUGAAGCUCCUGGCUCUUGACUUCAGUCUGGCCUAUCCUUGCUUUUGUGACCAUCUAGGGUGUGAAUCAGAAGAGAGAAGAUCUCUGUCUCUUCCUUUCUCUAGAACUUUGCCUUUAAAAUAAAUAAAUACAUACAAAAAUAAAUCUUUUUUCAAAAGUUCUUUUUGUGUGUAUGUGCUAUUAUUCUCCCUGUCCCCUAUGUUAGAUAUGGUCUUGUAUUGCUGAACAUGAUCCUCCACAAUCACCUUUUUGCUUCAGGCUACACACUUGCCUAAUG